GAAGGUAUAGCUCAAGUGGUAGAGCACAUGCUUAGCAUACACAAGGUCCUGGGUUCAAUCCCCAGUACCUCCU
Molecule: transfer RNA, 73 nt
Filed under: Camelus bactrianus (Bactrian camel)
Lineage: Eukaryota; Metazoa; Chordata; Mammalia; Artiodactyla; Camelidae
Also listed under: 2 other names
Rfam family: tRNA
About the family: Transfer RNA (tRNA) molecules are approximately 80 nucleotides in length. Their secondary structure includes four short double-helical elements and three loops (D, anti-codon, and T loops).
Source: Rfam by way of RNAcentral